GAGGAUUUGAGAGAGAGUGCUAGAUUGGGGGCAAACCCUUGUCGAUUUGCCCCUCAACCCAUUGAUCAAAGCCGCCUGACGCCUCCCUCGUCACCAUCCUCGCGUGUGUGAGUCGUCCACUGUCCGAAUUCGUUAGGUUUCGAGACCCUAGCGGGUGCCCGGUGCGCUCUAACCUCGUCGGGCAGCGAUGGAUCAUCGAUUCAAGUGAUCUAAGUGGUUAGGAAUAGGGUUUUCCCCAAAUUAAACCCAUCGGAACACCAGAUUCCUCAAAACCCUAAUCCAAAAGGUCCAAGAUGCGAGCACUGUCAAGAGUGCCCCUGUGGAGCCCGGUGAGGAGCUGGGAGAUGCAUAACUCGUGAAGAGUCUGGCUGAGCUCUACGAGCUCAACCAGAAGCUUGUUAGCAUUUUGAUGCGUUUAACUAGGUCUGGUUUUGUAGAAACACCUUGGGUUUGUACAUACCCUGAUGGGGUUAUUAUAUAUUUUGGACUCAAUAUUUUGGAUAUUGUCCUAUUUACGCUAUGAUACGUCGUAGUUAUCUUUACUUAUCUCUCGAUACCUACUUUGCUAAUGCAUGCGACUCUGAUUGUUAAUUUGUUUGGAGAGAAUCUAACCAUGUAGACAUGUGGGAACUCCUCUACA
Molecule: long non-coding RNA, 640 nt
Organism: Magnolia sinica
Lineage: Eukaryota; Viridiplantae; Streptophyta; Magnoliopsida; Magnoliales; Magnoliaceae
Exons: 4
Source: RefSeq, a predicted model, not a curated record